This 380-nucleotide RNase P RNA is filed under the name Candidatus Phytoplasma australiense. Its description in RNAcentral is "Bacterial RNase P class B". It matches the Rfam family "Bacterial RNase P class B". Rfam says of the family: Ribonuclease P (RNase P) is a ubiquitous endoribonuclease, found in archaea, bacteria and eukarya as well as chloroplasts and mitochondria. Its best characterised activity is the generation of mature 5'-ends of tRNAs by cleaving the 5'-leader elements of precursor-tRNAs. The record is from Rfam by way of RNAcentral. Lineage: Bacteria; Bacillati; Mycoplasmatota; Mollicutes; Acholeplasmatales; Acholeplasmataceae.
GAUGGAAGGUGAUCGAGGUUUAAAAACUUUAUUGUUUUUUUAAACUUAGGAAAGUCCAUGUUAGCACAUGCUGCGAUUGCAUGUAGUGUUUGUGUCUAAGGAAUAAAUAACUUAGAGUGCUUUCGCAAGAAAACAACGGCGUUUUCGGUUUCUAAGGGUCUAUUUUAUGUAAAUCUAUGAAACGAAAACUUAAAAGUGUCACAGAGACGAGCUAAUUAGAAAUAAUUAGGUGAAACGCGAUAAACCCCUCAAGCUAACAACCCAAAAUAAUGGUAGGGGCAUGUAAUUCAACAAAAUGAAGUUAGGAUUACAUUACUUUUUUAGUAGAAGAUAAAUGAUCACGCUUGUUUUUUAACAAGAACAAAACAUGGCUUAUGCAC